Molecule: ribosomal RNA, 254 nt
Filed under: uncultured bacterium
Lineage: Bacteria
Description: partial 16S ribosomal RNA
Rfam family: Bacterial small subunit ribosomal RNA
Source: RNAcentral
UACGGAGGGUGCGAGCGUUGUCCGGAAUCAUUGGGCGUAAAGGGCGCGUAGGUGGCCCGGUCAGUCUUUGGUGAAAGCGCGGGGCUCAACCCUGCGUCGGCCAGGGAUACUGCCGCGGCUCGAGCACUGUAGAGGCAGGCGGAAUUCCGGGUGUAGCGGUGGAAUGCGUAGAGAUCCGGAAGAACACCGGUGGCGAAGGCGGCCUGCUGGGCAGUGGCUGACACUGAGGCGCGACAGCGUGGGGAGCAAACAGG